This 73-nucleotide transfer RNA is filed under the name Canis lupus familiaris (dog). It matches the Rfam family "tRNA". Rfam says of the family: Transfer RNA (tRNA) molecules are approximately 80 nucleotides in length. Their secondary structure includes four short double-helical elements and three loops (D, anti-codon, and T loops). The record is from Rfam by way of RNAcentral. Lineage: Eukaryota; Metazoa; Chordata; Mammalia; Carnivora; Canidae. RNAcentral also lists the same sequence under 1 other name.
GCCUGGCUGGCUCAGUCAGUAGGGCAUGUGACUCUCAGUCUCAGGGUUGUGAGUUCAAGCCCCAUGUUGGGCC